Molecule: long non-coding RNA, 2962 nt
Filed under: Xyrichtys novacula (pearly razorfish)
Lineage: Eukaryota; Metazoa; Chordata; Actinopteri; Labriformes; Labridae
Source: RNAcentral
UUUUUUUUUAGUUUUUUUUUAGUUUUUUUUAGAAAUACUAAUGUUCUUCUGUUUAUUAGUUUUCUUUAGUUUUUUUUUUUGCCUGUUUUAAGUUUUUUUGUUUGUUUUUUUAGUGUUUUUGUUAUUUAUAUAUAUUUAGGGUGUUCUUUUCUUAAAUACCUUUCCUUCUGUUUUUUUUGUUGUUGUUUAUACUAUCCUUUCUCUUUUUUAGUUUUCUUUCUGCCUGUUUUAAGUUUUAUUUUCAGUUUUUUGUUUUUCUAUAUAUUAGGGUGUUUUUUUCUAAAAUACUUUUCCUUCUGUUUUUUUUUAUUUUGUUUAUACUAUCCUUUCUCUUUUUUUAGUUUUCUUUAGUUUUUUUUCUGCCUGUUUUAAGUUUGUUUUUUUAGUUUUUUUUUUAGUUUUUUUGUUAUAUAUAUAUAUAUAGGUUGUUCUUUUCUGAAAUACUUUUCCUCCUUUUUUUAUUUUGUUUAUACUAUCCUUUCUCUUUUUUAGUUUUCUUUCUGCCUGUUUUAAGUUUUUUUUUGUCUUUUUUGUUAUAUAUAUAUAUAAAAAGUGUUUUUUUUUCAGAUAUACUUUUCUUUCUGUUUUUUUAUUUUGUUUAUAUUAUCCUUUCUCCUUUUUAGUUUUCUGUAGUUUUUUUCUGCCUGUUCUAAGUUUUUUUUUAGUUUUCUUUAGUUUUUUUUUGCCUGUUUUAAGUUUUUUUUGUUUGUUUUUUUAGUUUUUUGUUAUUGAUAUAUAUAUAUAUAUAUAUAGGUUGUUCUUUUCUGAAAUAAUUUUCCUUCUGUUUUUUUAUUUUGUUUAUACUAUCCUUUCUCUUUUUUAGUUUUCUUUAGUUUUCUUUCUGCCUGUUUUAAGUUUUUUUUUUGUCUUUUUUGUUAUAUAUAUAUUUAAAGUGUUUUUUUUUCAGAUAUACUAUUCUUUCUCUUUUUUUAAGUUUUCUUUAGUUUUUUUCUUCCUAUUUUAAGUUUUUUUUUAGUUUUUUUUUUAGUUUUUUUUGUUAGAUAUAUAUAUAUAUAGAUUUAGGGUGUUUUUGUCAGAUAUACUUUUCUUUCUUUUUUUUUGUUUAUACUAUUCUCUCUUUUUUAAGUUUUCUUUAGUUUUUUUCUGCCUGAUUAAAGUUUUUUUUUAAGUUUUUUUUAAAUAGUAUUCUUUUCUUUAUUUUUUAAAUUUUCUUUAGUUUUUCUUCUGUCUGUUUUAAGUUUUUUUUAGUUUUUUUGUUAUAUAUAUUUCAAGUGUUUUUUUUCAAAUAAACUUUUCUUGCCGUUUUUUUUAUUUUGUGUAUACUAUUCUUUCUCUUUUUUAUUUUACUUUUUUCUGCCUGUAUUAAGGUUUUUUUUUAGUUUUUUUUAGUUAUUUUGGUAUUUAUAUAUAUAGGUUGUUCUUUUGUGAAAUACUUUUCCUUCUUUUUUUAUUAUGUUUAUACUAUCCUUUCUCUUUUUCUAGUUUUCUUUAGUUUUUUUUCAGCCUGUUUUAAUCUUUUUUUAGUUUUCUUUAGUUUUUUUUCUGCCUGUUUAAAUUUUUUUUUUUGUUUUUUUUUUAGUUUUUUGUUAUAUAUAUAUAUUAAGGGUGUUUUUUUCAGAUAUACUUUUCUUUCUGUUUUUUUUUUUGUUUUGUUUAUACUAUUCUUUCUCCUUUUUUAGUUUUCUUUAGUUUUUUCUGCCUGUUCCCAGUUUUUCUUUUUUUUUUUUUUAGUUCUUUUUUUAUAUAUAUAUUUAGGGUGUUUUUUUCAGAAAUACUUUUCCUUCUGUUUUUUUUAUUUUGUUUAUACUAUCCAUUCUCCUUUUUUAGUUUACUUUAGUUUUUUCUGCCUGUUUAAAGUUUUUUUUUAGUUUUUUUUUUUAGUUUUUUGUUAUAUAUAUAUAUAUUAAUAUAUAUAUUUAGGGUGUUUUUUUCAGAUAUACUUUUCUUUCUGUUUUUUUAUUUUGUUUAUACUAUCCUUUCUCUUUUUUAGUUUUCUUUAGUUUUCUUUCUGCCUGUAUUAAGUUUGUUUUUUUUAGUUUUUUGUUAUUGAUAUAUAUAUUUAUAGGUUGUUCUUUUCUGAAAUACUUUUCCUUCUGUUUUUUUAUUUUGUUUAUAUUAUCCUUUCUCCUUUUUUAGGUUUUCUGUAGUUUUUUUCUGCCUGUUCUAAGUUUUUUUUUAGAAAAACUAUUCUUUUUUUUUUAGUUUUUUUUUAGUUUUUUUUAGAAAUACUAAUGUUCUUCUGUUUAUUAGUUUUCUUUAGUUUUUUUGUUUGUUUUUUUGUGUUUUUGUUAUUUAUAUAUAUUUAGGGUGUUCUUUUCUUAAAUACCUUUGCUUCUGUUUUUUUUUUUUUUGUUGUUUAUACUAUCCUUUCUCUUUUUUAGUUUUCUUUCUGCCUGUUUUAAGUUUUAUUUUCAGUUUUUUGUUUUUCUAUAUAUUAGGGUGUUUUUUUCUAAAAUACUUUUCCUUCUGUUUUUUUUAUUUUGUUUAUACUAUCCUUUCUCUUUUUUUAGUUUUCUUUAGUUUUUUUUCUGCCUGUUUUAAGUUUGUUUUUUUAGUUUUUUUUUUAGUUUUUUUGUUAUAUAUAUAUAUAUAGGUUGUUCUUUUCUGAAAUACUUUUCCUCCUUUUUUUAUUUUGUUUAUACUAUCCGUUCUCUUUUUUAGUUUUCUUUCUGCCUGUUUUAAGUUUUUUUUUUGUCUUUUUUGUUAUAUAUAUAUAUAUAAAGUGUUUUUUUAUCAGAUAUACUUUUCUUUCUGUUUUUUUAUUUUGUUUAUAUUAUCCUUUCUCCUUUUUUAGUUUUCUGUAGUUUUUUUCUGCCUGUUCUAAGUUUUUUUUUAGUUUUCUUUAGUUUUUUUUUUGCCUGUUUUAAGUUUUUUUUUGUUUGUUUUUUUAGUUUUUUGUUAUUGAUAUAUAUAUAUAGGUUGUUCUUUUCUGAAAUACUUUUCCUUCUGUUUUUUUAUUUUGUUUAUACUAUCCUUUCUCUUUUUUAGUUUUCUUUAGUUU